GGAGCGAAUCNAAAACCCGGUCUCGGUUCAGAUUGCAGGCUGCAACUCGCCUGCAUGAAGUUGGAAUUGCUAGUAAUCGCGAAUCAGAAUGUCGCGGUGAAUACGUUCCCGGGCCUUGUACACACCGCCCGUCACACCAUGAGAGUUGGGGAUACCCGAAGCCUGUGAGCUAACAUUAUGAGGCAGCAGUCGAAGGUAGAAUCAAUGAUUGGGGUGAAGUCGUAACAAGGUAUC
Molecule: ribosomal RNA, 234 nt
Filed under: uncultured bacterium
Lineage: Bacteria
Description: partial 16S ribosomal RNA
Rfam family: Bacterial small subunit ribosomal RNA
Source: RNAcentral